This is a long non-coding RNA of Dalotia coriaria, 336 nucleotides long. RefSeq lists it as uncharacterized. Lineage: Eukaryota; Metazoa; Arthropoda; Insecta; Coleoptera; Staphylinidae. The record is from RefSeq and is a predicted model, not a curated record. The transcript is spliced from 2 exons.
GCUGAUGGUGACUGUGUCGAAGGCAGCUUGGACCCUCAAGAUCCUCGUUGUCCUAGGUUGAUUCUGACCGGAACAGUUGUUAAAGUCGAAGAUAGUCAAGAAGAGAAGCUGGCGAGAUCUGCUUUGUACGCUAAUCAUCCCGAUAUGGAAAUGUGGGCAGGUGUUCAUGAUUUCUACAUUUCCAAGAUGAACAUUGAGCGUGUCACCUAUUUAGGUAACUUUGGUGGUGCCGAUAUUAUCGAGCCAAGUGAAUAUUUGGCAACUAAGCUUUAAAUAUGCUGUUCGUAUCGUUAUUUUGAUGUGAUAUUUGAUUAAAUACCUGUUAUUAUAAACACA